CCUACGGGAGGCAGCAGUGAGGAAUAUUGGUCAAUGGACGGAAGUCUGAACCAGCCAUGCCGCGUGCAGGAAGACGGCUCUAUGAGUUGUAAACUGCUUUUGUACGAGGGUAAACGCAGGUACGCGUAUCUGUCUGAGAGUAUCGGAAGAAUAAGGAUCGGCUAACUCCGUGCCAGCAGCCGCGGUAAUACGGAGGAUUCAAGCGUUAUCCGGAUUUAUUGGGUUUAAAGGGUGCGUAGGCGGUCGGAUAAGUUAGAGGUGAAAUCCCGAGGCUCAACUCCGGAAGUGCCGUUGAUACUGUGCGGCUAGAGAGUAGGUGGGGUAGGCGGAAUGUAUGGUGUAGCGGUGAAAUGCUUAGAGAUCAUACAGAACACCGAUCGCGAAGGCAGCGUACCAAGCUACUUCUGACGUUGAGGCACGAAAGCGUGGGGAGCAAACAGGAUUAGAUACCCGUGUAGUC
Molecule: ribosomal RNA, 460 nt
Filed under: uncultured bacterium
Lineage: Bacteria
Description: partial 16S ribosomal RNA
Rfam family: Bacterial small subunit ribosomal RNA
Source: RNAcentral